RNAcentral lists this transfer RNA (70 nucleotides) under Vulpes vulpes (red fox). Its description in RNAcentral is "tRNA-Gly". It matches the Rfam family "tRNA". From Rfam's summary of the family: Transfer RNA (tRNA) molecules are approximately 80 nucleotides in length. Their secondary structure includes four short double-helical elements and three loops (D, anti-codon, and T loops). Further hydrogen bonds mediate the characteristic L-shaped molecular structure. tRNAs have two regions of fundamental functional importance: the anti-codon, which is responsible for specific mRNA codon recognition, and the 3' end, to which the tRNAs corresponding amino acid is attached (by aminoacyl-tRNA synthetases). tRNAs cope with the degeneracy of the genetic code in two manners: having more than one tRNA (with a specific anti-codon) for a particular amino acid; and 'wobble' base-pairing, i.e. permitting non-standard base-pairing at the 3rd anti-codon position. Lineage: Eukaryota; Metazoa; Chordata; Mammalia; Carnivora; Canidae. The record is from RNAcentral.
UACUUCUUUAGUAUAAUUAGUACAAUUGACUUCCAAUCAGUUAGCUUCAGACAGAUCUGAAAAGAAGUAA